AGUGCAAUCGAUGUUUUUUCCAGUACUUUAGUUUUUAGCCACCCUCUAGGAAACAACAUGAAUGCUGUCGGAAUAAACAUUGAUAAGGCACU
RNAcentral lists this microRNA precursor (92 nucleotides) under Spodoptera frugiperda (fall armyworm). RNAcentral's name for it is "microRNA sfr-mir-10488 precursor". Lineage: Eukaryota; Metazoa; Arthropoda; Insecta; Lepidoptera; Noctuidae. The record is from miRBase by way of RNAcentral.